CCUACGGGAGGCAGCAGUCGAGAAUCAUUCACAAUGGGGGAAACCCUGAUGGUGCGACGCCGCGUGGGGGAAUGAAGGUCUUCGGAUUGUAAACCCCUGUCAUGUGGGAGCAAAUUAAAAAGAUAGUACCACAAGAGGAAGAGACGGCUAACUCUGUGCCAGCAGCCGCGGGAAUACAGAGGUCUCAAGCGUUGUUCGGAAUCACUGGGCGUAAAGCGUGCGUAGGCAGUUUCGUAAGGCGUGUGUGAAAGGCGCGGGCUCAACCCGCGGACGGCACAUGAUACUGCGUGACUAGAGUAAUGGAGGGGGAAGCGGAAUUCUCGGUGUAGCAGUGACAUGCGUAGAUAUCGAGAGGAACACUCGUGGCGAAGGCAGGUUCCUGGACAUUAACUGACGCUGAGGCACGAAGGCCAGGGGAGCGAAAGGGAUUAGAUACCCUAGUAGUC
Molecule: ribosomal RNA, 446 nt
Filed under: uncultured bacterium
Lineage: Bacteria
Description: partial 16S ribosomal RNA
Rfam family: Bacterial small subunit ribosomal RNA
Source: RNAcentral